AUGAAAAAUGCAAGCACGAUUUGGGAGGGAUUUUUCUCUAUUGUAACAAGGAAGAAUUAUCUACUCCAUCCGACUAGUUCCGGGUUCGAGUCCCGUCCAACCCAUAUAGAAAAGACCCAUCAAAGUUUUUAA
Molecule: ribosomal RNA, 132 nt
Filed under: Triticum aestivum (bread wheat)
Lineage: Eukaryota; Viridiplantae; Streptophyta; Magnoliopsida; Poales; Poaceae
Description: partial small subunit ribosomal RNA
Source: RNAcentral